UAGGGAAUCUUCCACAAUGGACGCAAGUCUGAUGGAGCAACGCCGCGUGAGUGAAGAAGGCUUUCGGGUCGUAAAACUCUGUUAUUGAAGAAGAACGUGUGUGACAGUAACUGGUCAUGCAGUGACGGUAUUCAAUCAGAAAGUCACGGCUAACUACGUGCCAGCAGCCGCGGUAAUACGUAGGUGGCAAGCGUUGUCCGGAUUUAUUG
RNAcentral lists this ribosomal RNA (209 nucleotides) under uncultured bacterium. RNAcentral describes it as "partial 16S ribosomal RNA". It matches the Rfam family "Bacterial small subunit ribosomal RNA", at positions 355 to 556 of the family's 1533-position model. The record is from RNAcentral.